Molecule: ribosomal RNA, 465 nt
Filed under: uncultured bacterium
Lineage: Bacteria
Description: partial 16S ribosomal RNA
Rfam family: Bacterial small subunit ribosomal RNA
Source: RNAcentral
CCUACGGGUGACAGCAGUGGGGAAUAUUGCGCAAUGGGCGAAAGCCUGACGCAGCGACGCCGCGUGAGGGAUGAAGGUCUUCGGAUCGUAAACCUCUGUCAGCAGGGAAGAACGGUCACUGUGCUAAUCAGCAGUGAAUUGACGGUACCUGCAAAGGAAGCAUCGGCUAACUCCGUGCCAGCAGCCGCGGUAAUACGGAGGGUGCGAGCGUUAAUCGGAAUUACUGGGCGUAAAGCGCUCGUAGGCGGUAUGUCAAGUCAAGGGUGAAAUCCCCGCGCUCAACGUGGGAACUGCCUUUGAAACUGGCAGACUGGAGUGUGUGAGAGGAUAGUGGAAUUCCAGGUGUAGGAGUGAAAUCCGUAGAUAUCUGGAGGAACAUCAGUGGCGAAGGCGACUAUCUGGCACAUAACUGACGCUGAGGAGCGAAAGCGUGGGUAGCAAACAGGAUUAGAUACCCUAGUAGUC